GAUGAACGCUGGCGGCGUGCCUAAUACAUGCAAGUCGAGCGAACAGACGAGGAGCUUGCUCCUCUGACGUUAGCGGCGGACGGGUGAGUAACACGUGGAUAACCUACCUAUAAGACUGGGAUAACUUCGGGAAACCGGAGCUAAUACCGGAUAAUAUUUUGAACCGCAUGGUUCAAAAGUGAAAGACGGUUUUGCUGUCACUUAUAGAUGGAUCCGCGCUGCAUUAGCUAGUUGGUAAGGUAACGGCUUACCAAGGCAACGAUGCGUAGCCGACCUGAGAGGGUGAUCGGCCAAACUGGAAAUGAGACACGGUCCGGAAUACUAAGGGGGGCAGCAGUAGGGAAUCUUCCGAAAUGGGCGAAAGCCUGACGGAGAAACGCCGCGUGAGUGAUGAAGGUCUUCGGAUCGUAAAACUCUGUUAUUAGGGAAGAACAGAGGUGUAGUAACUGUGCACAUCUUGACGGUACCUAAUCAGAAAGCCACGGCUAACUACGUG
Molecule: ribosomal RNA, 496 nt
Filed under: uncultured bacterium
Lineage: Bacteria
Description: partial 16S ribosomal RNA
Rfam family: Bacterial small subunit ribosomal RNA
Source: RNAcentral